AGGUGACGAUGUUGGGUUAACUUUUGAAUUUUGUUGGCUGGGAUGGUCACUCUAUCACCAAAGGUCAAAUUUUUCUCAAUGUUUCGGGAGGGCUUUUGCACAUGCAUCCGCAUAUAUCCCACAAAUAAAUCCAUCGAAUAAAUCCAUCAUAUAUAUACUAUAAUUACUAUACUACUCCACUACUGAGUUUUCAGCAGGGUCAUGGCCAUGCAUAGGAGCUUCCAUUUGAGAUGAAUUACAUUAUUGUGCCGCUAUAAUACAUAUAGCCAAGAUCAGCCAAUGUCUGAUCCCAUGCAUAAAGAGUACUUAUUUAUUUCUUUUGGUUGGCCCCUAACUAUGUAGCUACAACGCUUAGUGUACUAAGUAAAAAAUAACCUUUCACUCAUCACUUAUUGCACAUGUAUUUCAACUUGUAGAUACAGUGCCAAUGCCAGUACUUCCUGCUGGAAAUCAGAAUACUCUCUACACCUACGGAGGGAACAUCGAUACAGAUGGUCUUCCUGAAUACGAUGGAAUAACGUAAUAUGAAAUUGUGAUUGAAAUAAUUUAAUCUAAACAGCAAAUACUAAAAUUACGGUAAUUGUUCUAGUGGAACGGACUGCAUACAUGGACUUGGAAAGCCCCUUAUAUACUAGCACAAUGAGUUCCGCAUGUUGAUGAUGCCCAACUAAACUAUACCAGCGAAGGUGGUUUUUUAUCAGUAGAAGUUGUACCCAUUGAAUUUCCUGCAUUUUGAUCGGUCGUAAUUGACAUGUCACCAGUCACAAGAACCUUUUAUACAAAUCUGAGAAAAAUCUGAAUUAAAAUUUCUAUUAAAUGCAACUAAUACUAUCAGCGUUCAAUUAAAAGCCUAUAUAUUCAUUUCACCGCUACAGGGCUCAUUGAGUAUAAGUGUUCGAU
Paramuricea clavata is the source of this 900-nucleotide non-coding RNA. The record is from the annotation of a GenBank genome assembly. NCBI's taxonomy places the organism in Eukaryota, Metazoa, Cnidaria, Anthozoa, Malacalcyonacea, Plexauridae.